UACGGGGGGGGCAAGCGUUGUUCGGAAUUACUGGGCGUAAAGGGCUCGUAGGUGGCCAACUAAGUCAGACGUGAAAUCCCUCAGCUUAACUGGGGAACUGCGUGUGAUACUGGAUGGCUUGGAUUUGGGAGAGGGAUGCGGAAUUCCAGGUGUAGCGGUGAAAUGCGUAGAUAUCUGGAGGAACACCGGUGGCGAAGGCGGCAUCCUGGACCGACACUGACACUGAGGAGCGAAAGCCAGGGGAGCAAACGGG
This 253-nucleotide ribosomal RNA is filed under the name uncultured bacterium. RNAcentral's name for it is "partial 16S ribosomal RNA". It matches the Rfam family "Bacterial small subunit ribosomal RNA", at positions 524 to 776 of the family's 1533-position model. The record is from RNAcentral.